AAUCAACGCUGGCGGCGCGCUUAACACAUGCAAGUCGCACGAGGAAAGUGGAGCAAUCCAUGAGUACAGUGGCGUACGGGUGAGUAACACGUGGGUAAUCGUAUCUCUUAGUGGGGAAUAACUCUGGGAAACCGGAGCUAAUACCGCAUAAGCCUGGAAAGGGAAAGCAGCAAUGCGCUGAGAGAGGAGCCCGCGGCCGAUUAGCUAGUUGGUAGGGUAAAGCCUACCAAGGCAAUGAUCGGUAGCCGGCCUGAGAGGGCACACGGCCACACUGGCACUGAAACACGGGCCAGACUCCUACGGGAGGCAGCAGUGGGGAAUCUUGCACAAUGGGGGCAACCCUGAUGCAGCGACGCCGCGUGAGCGAUGAAG
This 372-nucleotide ribosomal RNA is filed under the name uncultured bacterium. Its description in RNAcentral is "bacterial SSU rRNA". It matches the Rfam family "Bacterial small subunit ribosomal RNA", at positions 32 to 413 of the family's 1533-position model. The record is from RNAcentral.